GUGGGGAAUUUUGGACAAUGGGCGCAAGCCUGAUCCAGCCAUGCCGCGUGCAGGAUGAAGGCCUUCGGGUUGUAAACUGCUUUUGUACGGAACGAAACGGCUCUUUCUAAUAAAGAGGGCUAAUGACGGUACCGUAAGAAUAAGCACCGGCUAACUACGUGCCAGCAGCCGCGGUAAUACGUAGGGUGCGAGCGUUAAUCGGAAUUACUGGGCGUAAAGCGUGCGCAGGCGGUUUUGUAAGACAGGCGUGAAAUCCCCGGGCUCAACCUGGGAAUUGCGCUUGUGACUGCAAGGCUGGAGUGCGGCAGAGGGGGAUGGAAUUCCGCGUGUAGCAGUGAAAUGCGUAGAUAUGCGGAGGAACACCGAUGGCGAAGGCAAUCCCCUGGGCCUGCACUGACGCUCAUGCACGAAAGCGUGGGGAGCAAACAGGAUUAGAAACCCUUGUAGUCC
RNAcentral lists this ribosomal RNA (450 nucleotides) under uncultured bacterium. Its description in RNAcentral is "partial 16S ribosomal RNA". It matches the Rfam family "Bacterial small subunit ribosomal RNA", at positions 354 to 796 of the family's 1533-position model. The record is from RNAcentral.